GCGAAUACCGGAGAAUGUUAUCACGGGAGACACACGGCGGGUGCUAACGUCCGUCGUGAAGAGGGAAACAACCCAGACCGCCAGCUAAGGUCCCAAAGUCAUGGUUAAGUGGGAAACGAUGUGGGAAGGCCCAGACAGCCAGGAUGUUGGCUUAGAAGCAGCCAUCAUUUAAAGAAAGCGUAAUAGCUCACUGGUCGAGUCGGCCUGCGCGGAAGAUGUAACGGGGCUAAACCAUGCACCGAAGCUGCGGCAGCGACGCUUAUGCGUUGUUGGGUAGGGGAGCGUUCUGUAAGCCUGUGAAGGUGGCCUGUGAGGGUUGCUGGAGGUAUCAGAAGUGCGAAUGCUGACAUAAGUAACGAUAAAGCGGGUGAAAAGCCCGCUCGCCGGAAGACCAAGGGUUCCUGUCCAACGUUAAUCGGGGCAGGGUGAGUCGACCCCUAAGGCGAGGCCGAAAGGCGUAGUCGAUGGGAAACGGGUUAAUAUUCCCGUACUUGGUGUUACUGCGAAGGGGGGACGGAGAAGGCUAUGUUGGCCGGGCGACGGUUGUCCCGGUUUAAGCGUGUAGGUGUGUGUUCCAGGUAAAUCCGGUUCACUUUAACACUGAGGCGUGACGACGAGGCACUACGGUGCUGAAGCAACAAAUGCCCUGCUUCCAGGAAAAGCCUCUAAGCAUCAGGUAACAUCAAAUCGUACCCCAAACCGACACAGGUGGUCAGGUAGAGAAUACCAAGGCGCUUGAGAGAACUCGGGUGAAGGAACUAGGCAAAAUGGUGCCGUAACUUCGGGAGAAGGCACGCUGACACGUAGGUGAAGUGAUUUACUCAUGGAGCUGAAGUCAGUCGAAGAUACCAGCUGGCUGCAACUGUUUAUUAAAAACACAGCACUGUGCAAACACGAAAGUGGACGUAUACGGUGUGACGCCUGCCCGGUGCCGGAAGGUUAAUUGAUGGGGUCAGCGCAAGCGAAGCUCCUGAUCGAAGCCCCGGUAAACGGCGGCCGUAACUAUAACGGUCCUAAGGUAGCGAAAUUCCUUGUCGGGUAAGUUCCGACCUGCACGAAUGGCGUAAUGAUGGCCAGGCUGUCUCCACCCGAGACUCAGUGAAAUUGAACUCGCUGUGAAGAUGCAGUGUACCCGCGGCAAGACGGAAAGACCCCGUGAACCUUUACUAUAGCUUGACACUGAACAUUGAGCCUUGAUGUGUAGGAUAGGUGGGAGGCUUUGAAGUGUGGACGCCAGUCUGCAUGGAGCCGACCUUGAAAUACCACCCUUUAAUGUUUGAUGUUCUAACGUGGACCCGUUACCCGGGUUGCGGACAGUGUCUGGUGGGUAGUUUGACUGGGGCGGUCUCCUCCUAAAGAGUAACGGAGGAGCACGAAGGUUGGCUAAUCCUGGUCGGACAUCAGGAGGUUAGUGCAAUGGCAUAAGCCAGCUUGACUGCGAGCGUGACGGCGCGAGCAGGUGCGAAAGCAGGUCAUAGUGAUCCGGUGGUUCUGAAUGGAAGGGCCAUCGCUCAACGGAUAAAAGGUACUCCGGGGAUAACAGGCUGAUACCGCCCAAGAGUUCAUAUCGACGGCGGUGUUUGGCACCUCGAUGUCGGCUCAUCACAUCCUGGGGCUGAAGUAGGUCCCAAGGGUAUGGCUGUUCGCCAUUUAAAGUGGUACGCGAGCUGGGUUUAGAACGUCGUGAGACAGUUCGGUCCCUAUCUGCCGUGGGCGCUGGAGAACUGAGGGGGGCUGCUCCUAGUACGAGAGGACCGGAGUGGACGCAUCACUGGUGUUCGGGUUGUCAUGCCAAUGGCACUGCCCGGUAGCUAAAUGCGGAAGAGAUAAGUGCUGAAAGCAUCUAAGCACGAAACUUGCCCCGA
This 1865-nucleotide ribosomal RNA is filed under the name Salmonella enterica subsp. enterica serovar Manhattan. Its description in RNAcentral is "partial 23S ribosomal RNA". It matches the Rfam family "Bacterial large subunit ribosomal RNA", at positions 956 to 2802 of the family's 2925-position model. Lineage: Bacteria; Pseudomonadati; Pseudomonadota; Gammaproteobacteria; Enterobacterales; Enterobacteriaceae. The record is from RNAcentral.